UUCCAGAACUCCACCGGGAUCUCGUCAGGCCCAGUCGCUCGACCCCUACUCAUCCUACACAAAGCCCCUAUAACCUCCUCCGCCCUAAUGCGCCUGCAGUUCCCAAGGUCCUUAUGUUGCUCUGAAUGCCCCAACUCUCCUAGCUCUAUGUUACGAUCCCCCUUUUCGUUAAGUAAGUCUCAAAAUUACGCCUGCCACCUCUGCUUGACU
This 210-nucleotide long non-coding RNA is filed under the name Nicotiana benthamiana. Its description in RNAcentral is "long non-coding RNA (NBEN_LNC001331)". The record is from RNAcentral. Lineage: Eukaryota; Viridiplantae; Streptophyta; Magnoliopsida; Solanales; Solanaceae.